CAGUAGCCGCGGUAACACAGAGGGUGCGAGCGUUAAUCGGAUUUACUGGGCGUAAAGCGUGCGUAGGCGGCUUUUUAAGUCGGAUGUGAAAUCCCUGAGCUUAACUUAGGUAUUGCAUUCGAUACUGGGAAGCUAGAGUAUGGGAGAGGAUGGUAGAAUUCCAGGUGUAGCGGUGAAAUGCGUAGAGAUCUGGAGGAAUACCGAUGGCGAAGGCAGCCAUCUGGCCUAAUACUGACGCUGAGGUACGAAAGCAUGGGGAGCAAACAGGAUUAGAUACCCCUGUAGUCCCUGUCUCUUAUAC
RNAcentral lists this ribosomal RNA (301 nucleotides) under uncultured bacterium. RNAcentral describes it as "partial 16S ribosomal RNA". It matches the Rfam family "Bacterial small subunit ribosomal RNA", at positions 509 to 807 of the family's 1533-position model. The record is from RNAcentral.